UGGGGGAUAGUUUAGCGGUAGAACUCGCGGCUCUGACCCGCGCAGCCCUGGGUCGAAUCCAGGUCCCCCAGCCA
This 74-nucleotide transfer RNA is filed under the name Rhodospirillaceae bacterium. RNAcentral's name for it is "tRNA-Gln". It matches the Rfam family "tRNA". Rfam says of the family: Transfer RNA (tRNA) molecules are approximately 80 nucleotides in length. The record is from RNAcentral. Lineage: Bacteria; Pseudomonadati; Pseudomonadota; Alphaproteobacteria; Rhodospirillales; Rhodospirillaceae.